AAGUCGUAACAAGGUUUCCGUAGGUGAACCUGCGGAAGGAUCAUCACCGUAAAAGAUACGUUAGGCACCAGUGAAUUGUGAGGUGGGCGGCACGUGUGGGACUAGCAUUGGUUGGGCGUUCGGGGUCGCUGGGCGGCACGGCAUUGCUGUGCCACCCACGCGAUCCCGACCGCCCGCCAGCGCACCCCCUCUGCGUGCGCAGCCCGCAUUUCCUUGACACGCAUACAAACACACACAAACAUCCAGAUACAAAUAAACACAACUUUCAACAAUGGAUCUCUUGGCUCUC
This is an unclassified non-coding RNA of 289 nucleotides. The stretch from base 1 to 46 matches the Rfam family "Eukaryotic small subunit ribosomal RNA", at positions 1786 to 1831 of the family's 1831-position model.